RNAcentral lists this ribosomal RNA (403 nucleotides) under uncultured Nakamurella sp. RNAcentral's name for it is "bacterial SSU rRNA". It matches the Rfam family "Bacterial small subunit ribosomal RNA", at positions 353 to 772 of the family's 1533-position model. Lineage: Bacteria; Bacillati; Actinomycetota; Actinomycetes; Nakamurellales; Nakamurellaceae. The record is from RNAcentral.
AGUGGGGAAUAUUGCGCAAUGGGCGGAAGCCUGACGCAGCGACGCCGCGUGAGGGAUGACGGCCUUCGGGUUGUAAACCUCUUUCAGCAGGGACGAAUUGUGACGGUACCUGUAGAAGAAGCACCGGCCAACUACGUGCCAGCAGCCGCGGUAAUACGUAGGGUGCGAGCGUUGUCCGGAAUUAUUGGGCGUAAAGAGCUCGUAGGCGGUCUGUCGCGUCGAAUGUGAAAACCCGGGGCUCAACUCCGGGCUUGCAUUCGAUACGGGCAGGCUAGAGUUCGGUAGGGGAGUCUGGAAUUCCUGGUGUAGCGGUGAAAUGCGCAGAUAUCAGGAGGAACACCGGUGGCGAAGGCGGGACUCUGGGCCGAUACUGACGCUGAGGAGCGAAAGCGUGGGGAGCGAA